Molecule: ribosomal RNA, 514 nt
Filed under: uncultured bacterium
Lineage: Bacteria
Description: bacterial SSU rRNA
Rfam family: Bacterial small subunit ribosomal RNA
Source: RNAcentral
AGAGUUUGAUCCUGGCUCAGAAUGAACGUUGGCGGCGUGCCUAACACAUGCAAGUCGAGCGUGAAAGUCCUUCGGGAUGAGUAAAGCGGCGAACGGGUGAGUAACGCGUGAGAAUUUUCCUUUCAGUGAAGAAUACCUUUGGGAAACUAAAGUUAAUACUGCAUACGUCUCGAAAGAGAGAAAGAUGGCCUCUUUGCUGUCGCUGAAAGAUAAGCUUGCGUUCUAUUAGUUAGUUGGUGAGGUAAUGGCUCACCAAGACGAUGAUGGAUAGCCGGCCUGAGAGGGCGAACGGCCACAUUGGAACUUAGACACGGUCCAAACUCCUACGGGAGGCAGCAGUGAGGAAUAUUGCACAAUGGGCGCAAGCCUGAUGCAGCGACGCCGCGUGGAGGAUGACGGUUUUCGGAUUGUAAACUCCUGUUAAGUGUGAAAAAAGACCUGAUUUUAAUAGAAUCGGGGUGAUGUAGCACUAGAGAAAGCACCAGCUAACUUGUGCCAGCAGCCGCGGUAAUAC